RNAcentral lists this ribosomal RNA (338 nucleotides) under uncultured bacterium. RNAcentral's name for it is "bacterial SSU rRNA". It matches the Rfam family "Bacterial small subunit ribosomal RNA", at positions 568 to 898 of the family's 1533-position model. The record is from RNAcentral.
UACCGAUCGGCGGUUUCAUAAGUCUUUUGGUAAAAUCCAGGGGCUCAACUCCUGGCGUGCCGGGGAAACUAUGAGACUUGAGGGGCAAAGAGGAAGCUGGAACGAACGGUGUAGCAGUGAAAUGCGUUGAUAUCGUUCGGAACACCGAUAGCGAAGGCAAGCUUCUGGGUGCCACCUGACGCUGCUAGGACGAAAGCGUGGGGAGCGAAUGGGAUUAGAUACCCCAGUAGUCCACGCUGUAAACGAUGAUGACUAGGCAUAAGAGAGUAUCGACCCUCUUUCGUGCCGAAGCUAACGCAUUAAGUCAUCCGCCUGGGGAGUACGGUCGCAAGACUAAA